Long non-coding RNA from Oncorhynchus kisutch (coho salmon), 332 nucleotides. RefSeq lists it as uncharacterized. NCBI's taxonomy places the organism in Eukaryota, Metazoa, Chordata, Actinopteri, Salmoniformes, Salmonidae. The transcript is spliced from 2 exons. The record is from RefSeq and is a predicted model, not a curated record.
UGCCAGAACUACCACAGCGACUGCGAAACUGCCAUCGACCUGAUGAUCAACAUGUUGAUGUUUUCCUCUUAUGCAGCUGGGGAAGAAUGUGAAACAGGCCCUGCUGAACAUGCACAAGAUUGCCUCCGACAAGGUUGACCCGCACCCAUGUGACUUCCUGGAGACCCAAUUACCUGAAUGAGCAGGAGGAGGCCAUUAAAGAAGCUGGGUGACCACAUCACCAACCUCACCAAGAUGGAUGCUGUCAACAACAAGAUGGCCGAGUACCUGUUUGACAAGCACACCCUGGGAGGCCAGAGCUAAACCACUUCCAUCCCCAGGCUACGGCCUCC